Long non-coding RNA from Micropterus dolomieu (smallmouth bass), 423 nucleotides. RefSeq lists it as uncharacterized. The record is from RefSeq and is a predicted model, not a curated record. NCBI's taxonomy places the organism in Eukaryota, Metazoa, Chordata, Actinopteri, Centrarchiformes, Centrarchidae. The transcript is spliced from 2 exons.
GACAAGGAGCUAUUGAAUCUAACAGGAGCGAAAACCGACGAAUGUUGAAUAUUAAACUAACUUCACCCCGGUCAUCUACACCAGUAUUUCAACCCCGGCUCUCCACUCAAUCCCCGCUUGAUCGUUGUCGCUCCAGACUUGGUCCACUCAUCUCCGUCUCCCGUUCGGUCAGCUGGGCUCGCCUACCUGCCUUCUCCCCUCGCAUCACCUCCACGGCGCUCCCCCUCGCUCAUCGCCUGUUCGCCAGCCACCACAUCCCUUCCCACCUCGGCCUCCUGUCCCCCUUGGCCCUCUCGCCUGAACCUCUCCAGCCCCGUCAGCUCCUCGGUCCUCCGCGCCCACGUCUGCCAGUGUCCAUCUCCCCCCUUUUCUCCCGCACCUCGACUACCCUUUUUCUUCCCUUAAUAAAUUUCUUUAAAACCA